UACGAAGGGGGCUAGCGUUGUUCGGAAUUAUUGGGCGUAAAGCGUACGUAGGUGGAUACUUAAGUCAGGGGUGAAAUCCUGGGGUUCAACCUUGGAACUGUUUUUGAUACUGGGUAUCUCGAGUCUGGAAGAGGUGAGUGGAAUUCCGAGUGUAGAGGUGAAAUUCGUAGAUAUUCGGAGGAACACUAGUGGUGAAGGCGGCUUACUGGUUUGGUACUGACGCUGAGGUGUGAAAGCGUGGGGAGCAAACAGG
This 253-nucleotide ribosomal RNA is filed under the name uncultured bacterium. RNAcentral describes it as "partial 16S ribosomal RNA". It matches the Rfam family "Bacterial small subunit ribosomal RNA", at positions 524 to 776 of the family's 1533-position model. The record is from RNAcentral.